CCUACGGGAGGCAGCAGUGGGGAAUAUUGGACAAUGGGCGCUAGCCUGAACCAGCCACGUAGCGUGAAGGAUGACUGCCCUAUGGGUUGUAAACUUCUUUUAUAUGGGAGUAAAGUGCAGUAUGUAUACUGCUUUGCAUGUACCUUAUGAAUAAGGAUCGGCUAACUCCGUGCCAGCAGCCUCGGUAAUACGGAGGAUCCGAGCGUUAUCCGGAUUUAUUGGGUUUAACGGGAGCGUAGGCGGGUUGUUAAGUCAGUUGUGAAAGUUUGCGGCUUAACCGUAAAAUUGCAGUUGAUACUGGCAUCCUUGAGUACAGUAGAGGUAGGCGGAAUUCGUGGUGUAGCGGUGAAAUGCGUAGAUAUCACGAAGAACUCCGAUGGCGAAGGCAGCCUGCUGGACUGUAACUGACGCUGAUGCUCGAAAGUGUGGGUAGCAAACAGGAUUAGAUACCCCAGUAGUC
This 460-nucleotide ribosomal RNA is filed under the name uncultured bacterium. RNAcentral's name for it is "partial 16S ribosomal RNA". It matches the Rfam family "Bacterial small subunit ribosomal RNA", at positions 338 to 795 of the family's 1533-position model. The record is from RNAcentral.